UUCAGGUACGUCAACAAUUCAAGAUGAUCUUUCUUCAGAUGGGGUUUGAGGAGAUGCCCACAAACAAUUUUGUUGAAAGCAGCUUCUGAAAUUUUGAUGCACUUUUUCAGCCACAACAGCAUCCUGCUCGUGAUUCUCACGACACAUUCUUCCUCCAAGUUCCUUCCACUACAAAGACACUACCAGAAGAUUAUGUUGAGAGGGUGAAGAACAUUCAUGAAUAUGGAGGACAUGGUUUAAGAGGUUAUGGAUAUGACUGGAAACGAGAGGAAGCAGACAAAAACCUUCUAAGAACUCG
This is a long non-coding RNA of Impatiens glandulifera, 298 nucleotides long. RefSeq lists it as uncharacterized. The record is from RefSeq and is a predicted model, not a curated record. The transcript has 5 exons. Lineage: Eukaryota; Viridiplantae; Streptophyta; Magnoliopsida; Ericales; Balsaminaceae.